ACCUUUUUGUAGUUCAUUGGCUGUUCACGCCGUGUGUGUAACCUGUGUCUCCCUCAAACCUUGCUACCACCUCGGCACGUUACCCAUAUGAGG
Molecule: small nucleolar RNA, 93 nt
Filed under: Ursus americanus (American black bear)
Lineage: Eukaryota; Metazoa; Chordata; Mammalia; Carnivora; Ursidae
Also listed under: 2 other names
Description: Small nucleolar RNA U13
Rfam family: Small nucleolar RNA U13
Source: Rfam by way of RNAcentral